Molecule: ribosomal RNA, 1477 nt
Filed under: metagenome
Description: bacterial LSU rRNA
Rfam family: Bacterial large subunit ribosomal RNA
Source: RNAcentral
AAAAAGCUCGGGGAUGACUUGUGGAUAGCGGUGAAAUUCCAAUCGAGCCCGGAGAUAGCUGGUUCUCCCCGAAAUAGCUUUAGGGCUAGCCUCAAGCGUAGAGAAACGGAGGUAGAGCACUGAAUGUCCUAGGGGGUAUUGCACUUACCGAAGACUAUCAAACUCCGAAUGCCGUUUUCUUUACUUGGGAGUCAGACUGUGGGUGAUAAGAUUCAUAGUCAAAAGGGCAACAGCCCAGAUCGUCAGCUAAGGUCCCUAAAUGUACGUUAAGUGGUAAAGGAUGUGGGAUUGCACAGACAACCAGGAUGUUGGCUUAGAAGCAGCCACUCAUUUAAAGAGUGCGUAAUAGCUCACUGGUCGAGUGAUCCUGCGCCGAAAAUUUCCGGGGCUAAAACGUACUACCGAAGCUACGGCAUCAUUUAUGAUGGGUAGGGGAGCUUCGUAUGCAGGCUGAAGCAUGACCGUAAGGACAUGUGGACAGUAUACGAGUGAGAAUGUUGGCAUGAGUAGCGAGACGUGGGUGAGAAUCCCACGGGCCGUAAACCCAAGGUUUCCAGGGGAAGGUUCGUCCGCCCUGGGUUAGUCGGGACCUAAGCCGAGGCCGAAAGGCGUAGGUGAUGGACAACAGGUUGAUAUUCCUGUACCGCCAAUAAGCGUUUGAGAGAUGGAGUGACACAGUAGGAUAAGCUAACCGUACUGUUGGUUAUGUACGGCUAAGCAUUGAGGCAGUCUAAAUAGGCAAAUCCGUUUAGACAAUGCUAGGAUGUGAUAGGGAAGCCCUUCGGGGCGAAGUAGCUGAUUUCACACUGUCAAGAAAAGCUUCUAUCGAGUUUAAAGGCGCCCGUACCGUAAACCGACACAGGUGGGUGAGGAGAGUAUCCUAAGGCCAGCGAGAGAACUAUUGUUAAGGAACUCGGCAAAAUGACCCCGUAACUUAGGGAGAAGGGGUGCCUGUCUAUGACAGGCCGCAGAGAAUAGGCCCAAGCGACUGUUUACCAAAAACACAGGUUUCUGCUAAGUCGCAAGACGAUGUAUAGGAGCUGACGCCUGCCCGGUGCUGGAAUGUUAAGGGGAUCUGUUAGAGCAAUCGAAGCAGUGAACUUAAGCCCCAGUAAACGGCGGCCGUAACAAUAACGGUCCUAAGGUAGCGAAAUUCCUUGUCGGGUAAGUUCCGACCCGCUAAAGGCGUAACGAUUUGGGCACUGUCUCAACAAUAGACUCGGUGAAAUUGUAAUCCCGGUGAAGAUGCCGGGUACCUGCGACAGGACGGAAAGACCCCAUGGAGCUUUACUGUAGCUUGACGUUGGGUCUUGGUACUACAUGUACAGGAUAGGUGGGAGACUAUGAAGCAUGGACGCCAGUCUGUGUGGAGUCAUCCUUGGGAUACCACCCUUGUAGUACUGGGAUCCUAACCAUAGGCCUUGAAUCAGGUCUUGGAACACCGUCAGGUGGGCAGUUUGACUGGGGCGGUCGCAAA